Molecule: ribosomal RNA, 253 nt
Filed under: uncultured bacterium
Lineage: Bacteria
Description: partial 16S ribosomal RNA
Rfam family: Bacterial small subunit ribosomal RNA
Source: RNAcentral
UACGUAGGGUGCAAGCGUUAAUCGGAAUUACUGGGUGUAAAGCGUGCGCAGGCGGUCUUGCAAGACAGAUGUGAAAUCCCCGGGCUUAACCUGGGAACUGCAUUUGUGACUGCAAGGCUGGAGUGCGGCAGAGGGGGAUGGAAUUCCGCGUGUAGCAGUGAAAUGCGUAGAUAUGCGGAGGAACACCGAUGGCGAAGGCAAUCCCCUGGGCCUGCACUGACGCUCAUGCACGAAAGCGUGGGGAGCAAACAGG